GACGAACGCUGGCGGCGUGCUUAACACAUGCAAGUCGAACGGAAAGGCCCUGCUUUUGUGGGGUGCUCGAGUGGCGAACGGGUGAGUAACACGUGAGUAACCUGCCCUUGACUUUGGGAUAACUUCAGGAAACUGGGGCUAAUACCGGAUAGGAGCUCCUGCUGCAUGGUGGGGGUUGGAAAGUUUCGGCGGUUGGGGCUGGACUCGCGGCUUAUCAGCUUGUUGGUGGGGUAGUGGCUUACCAAGGCUUUGACGGGUAGCCGGCCUGAGAGGGUGACCGGCCACAUUGGGACUGAGAUACGGCCCAGACUCCUACGGGAGGCAGCAGUGGGGAAUAUUGCACAAUGGGCGGAAGCCUGAUGCAGCAACGCCGCGUGCGGGAUGACGGCCUUCGGGUUGUAAACCGCUUUCGACUGUGACGAAGCGUGAGUGACGGUAAUGGGUAAAGAAGCACCGGCUAACUACGUG
Molecule: ribosomal RNA, 468 nt
Filed under: uncultured bacterium
Lineage: Bacteria
Description: partial 16S ribosomal RNA
Rfam family: Bacterial small subunit ribosomal RNA
Source: RNAcentral